RNAcentral lists this long non-coding RNA (398 nucleotides) under Chloebia gouldiae (Gouldian finch). Its description in RNAcentral is "Erythrura gouldiae (Gouldian finch) lncRNA (ENSEGOG00005006699.1)". Lineage: Eukaryota; Metazoa; Chordata; Aves; Passeriformes; Passeridae. The record is from RNAcentral.
CCCGGAGCCGCUCCAGCGCCUGCCGAACGCCUCCCCGCCGCGGGGGCGGCGAACAUCGCGGCGCUCGGGGGCUGCGGGCACAGGUGGCAGUGUAGAAGCCAAGAACAAAAAUUGGCAGAAAUUGUGUUCUGUGUACAAGAGUAUGAAGAGUGUACUCAUGACUAAGCACAGGAACCUGGAAAACCACAGCCUGUGGAAAUUAGUCCAUGCAUCUGCAUUCCUGGAUUCCUGGGAAGCCAUGGAGGAUGAGACAAGCUCAAAGCUGGGGCUUGAGGAUUUUUUAGAACUGAUGAGUGGGAAGUUAUCCUGGUAAGAAGCGUCAAAGUGGAAUUAUCACUGUGAUCAUGGAUAUAUUUAUAGUCUUGCACUUCCUUUUCUAGUCUGGGAGAGCAGUUUGU